UGGGGAAUAUUGGACAAUGGGCGAAAGCCUGAUCCAGCCAUGCCGCGUGUGUGAAGAAGGUCUUCGGAUUGUAAAGCACUUUAAGUUGGGAGGAAGGGCAUUAACCUAAUACGUUAGUGUUUUGACGUUACCGACAGAAUAAGCACCGGCUAACUCUGUGCCAGCAGCCGCGGUAAUACAGAGGGCGCAAGCGUUAAUCGGAAUUACUGGGCGUAAAGCGCGCGUAGGUGGUUUGUUAAGUUGGAUGUGAAAGCCCCGGGCUCAACCUGGGAACUGCAUCCAAAACUGGCAAGCUAGAGUACGGUAGAGGGUGGUGGAAUUUCCUGCGUAGCGGUGAAAUGCGUAGAUAUAGGAAGGAACACCAGUGGCGAAGGCGACCACCUGGACUGAUACUGACACUGAGGUGCGAAAGCGUGGGGAGCAAACA
RNAcentral lists this ribosomal RNA (427 nucleotides) under uncultured bacterium. Its description in RNAcentral is "partial 16S ribosomal RNA". It matches the Rfam family "Bacterial small subunit ribosomal RNA", at positions 355 to 774 of the family's 1533-position model. The record is from RNAcentral.